AAGGCCACUUCUCAAAGUAGUGGUUUUUCCUUUGUUGUUGUUGCAUACUAUUUAGUUGCCUGGAUGUUGUAUAAUUUAUGCAGUAAACUUUUGUGCCCCUUCAGUAUGCCAGGUACUGCUAGCCUUGGAAUGCAGAAAUGAACAGUCUUUACCUUCAUGGAUCUUAACUUCUGGAGAGACAAAUGAACGAAUACCAGAUCCAGUUCCCUUCAGCAGAAGCACCCACUGUUACGUGUUUCUCAUGCCCCUGUCCAGCGAUACUGCAAGGAUAUCCAAGCAUGAAAUUAUCCAUUUCAUCUAUAUCACCAGAGAUAAGACUGGGAAAUUUGACAAGUGAGCAGAAGGAGUGAAUCAAGCUGACCAGAGAGAGUAGGAGCCCCAGGCGUCACAAAGUACCCAUCGGAAGUGAGUUAUUCAUUUAAACUGACAAUAAUUUGCUCCAUUUUGUGGUGUUCUGCAGCCAUUCCUGGAGAGGUUGGUAUACAAACUGUUUAGUUUUUGAGGUGUGUGUGAUGAGAGGAGAGAAGGGUAAAACAGUUAAAGACAGUGGCAGGGGAAUGAUGAUAUUGAGAAGUCAUGGAUUGUAAGUCAUGAAGAUUUAAGUGAUGUUAAGAGAGGACAGAUGAACACAAGGAAAAAAUAAGUACCUGGAUUAACAGAUUGGCGGCCUUCACAAGGCUGAAGAAUUCCUGGCAAGACAGGAAGAUGUGAUCUAAAAAUUGUAUCUGCAAAAUCAUGAUUUUUGGAAGGGGUGCAGGGACUUGGAGAUGGAAUCAUGGGCACAUGGGCUGAAGUGCAGCUAAGAAAGGUCAGAGUUGAUGGGCAGGGCGCUGGGUGAGCAGCUUAUCUGCAUCUGGGAGUCACUAAGCUCAAUGACAUGGACUGCAAGAGACAAAGAGACAUGGAUCAGGUGCUAAAGUCUCUGGUGAACAAGGGAAAGUGACAGAAGAGGAAGGGUAGGGGAAUAACUGUUGGAAGCAGCAAUGGCUAACAAGAAGGACCAUUCUUCUCCCAUCGGGCCCUGAGCUGUGGGAGAGUGAGAGGCACACAAUUGCCUGGGGUCUCCACUCAGGCCAGGGGUUGCAGGAACUACUAGGGGAGCAUUUGAGGACAUGGAUGAGU
Molecule: long non-coding RNA, 1122 nt
Organism: Camelus dromedarius (Arabian camel)
Lineage: Eukaryota; Metazoa; Chordata; Mammalia; Artiodactyla; Camelidae
Exons: 3
Source: RefSeq, a predicted model, not a curated record